This 253-nucleotide ribosomal RNA is filed under the name uncultured bacterium. Its description in RNAcentral is "partial 16S ribosomal RNA". It matches the Rfam family "Bacterial small subunit ribosomal RNA", at positions 524 to 776 of the family's 1533-position model. The record is from RNAcentral.
UACGUAGGGCGCAAGCGUUGUCCGGAAUUAUUGGGCGUAAAGAGCUCGUAGGCGGCCUGUCGCGUCUGCUGUGAAAUCCCGGGGCUUAACCCCGGGCGUGCAGUGGAUACGGGCUGGCUGGAGGCAGGCAGGGGAGAACGGAAUUCCCGGUGUAGCGGUGAAAUGCGCAGAUAUCGGGAGGAACACCGGUGGCGAAGGCGGUUCUCUGGGCCUGUUCUGACGCUGAGGAGCGAAAGCGUUGGGAGCGAACAGG